This 642-nucleotide long non-coding RNA is filed under the name Homo sapiens (human). RNAcentral describes it as "HSALNT0164928". The record is from RNAcentral. Lineage: Eukaryota; Metazoa; Chordata; Mammalia; Primates; Hominidae.
GCUUUGCUCUGUCUCCCAGGCUGGAGUGCAGGGGUGCCAUCAUAGCUCACUGCAGCUUUGACCUCCUGGACUAAGCUAUCCUCCUGCCUCGGCCUCCUGAGUGGGAAGGACUACAGGCCCCCAAAGGCUCUGCGCAGACCAGCACUGUCUCCUCCUUCAUCCACAGAGAGGAUGAAAGAACAUGGCAAGAGGAAGACUCACAGAACCCCACAGAGAAGCUUUGAGAAUUGGGCUGUCUGGCUCUCCCAUCACCCAUUUGGCCACCAGCUUUGGUCCCAGCUGCUGUGCCCUCGGGGGAUGCAUUAUGGCCCUGAAAGGGGCCCUUGUCCCUUUUUGGGGUGUCAUCCUGGCUGGGUGGUAUGGAUUUCUGCUGUAAACAUGGCCCAUCUGGGAGAAGCCCAGGUGCCACGUUUUGAACAGCUCUGAAACUUAAAGCUCAGAAGGCUUUGAAAUGCAAAUAUUUUGAAGGAAACAUAAGGUUCCUUGAAUUUCUACGUGAAUUUUAGGAUCAGCUUGUCCAUUUCUGCAAAGAAGCCAGCUGAGCUUUUGAUUGGAAUUGCAUUGAAUCUGUAGAUCAAUUUGGAGAGCAUUUGCAUCUUAACAGUAUUAAGUCUUCUCAUCCAUGAACAUAUUAUAUUUUUC